UACGAAGGGUGCAAGCGUUAAUCGGAAUUACUGGGCGUAAAGCGCGCGUAGGUGGUUCGUUAAGUUGGAUGUGAAAGCCCCGGGCUCAACCUGGGAACUGCAUCCAAAACUGGCGAGCUAGAGUACGGUAGAGGGUGGUGGAAUUUCCUGUGUAGCGGUGAAAUGCGUAGAUAUAGGAAGGAACACCAGUGGCGAAGGCGACCACCUGGACUGAUAAUGAAACUGAGGUGAGAAAGCGUGGGGAGCACACAGGAGGCGAUAACCCCGUAGUCC
RNAcentral lists this ribosomal RNA (273 nucleotides) under uncultured bacterium. RNAcentral's name for it is "partial 16S ribosomal RNA". It matches the Rfam family "Bacterial small subunit ribosomal RNA", at positions 524 to 796 of the family's 1533-position model. The record is from RNAcentral.